Molecule: ribosomal RNA, 380 nt
Filed under: uncultured bacterium
Lineage: Bacteria
Also listed under: 1 other name
Description: bacterial SSU rRNA
Rfam family: Archaeal small subunit ribosomal RNA
Source: RNAcentral
AUACCGGCAGCUCAAGUGAUGACCAAUUUUAUUGGGCCUAAAGCGUCCGUAGCCGGCCAGACAGGUCCGUCGGGAAAUCUGCUCGCUUAACGAGCAGGCGUCCGGCGGAAACCCGCUGGCUUGGGGCCGGAAGAUCCAAGGGGUACGUCUGGGGUAGGAGUGAAAUCCUGUAAUCCUAGACGGACCGCCGAUCGCGAAAGCACCUUGGAAGGACGGACCCGACGGUGAGGGACGAAAGCUAGGGUCACGAACCGGAUUAGAUACCCGGGUAGUCCUAGCUGUAAACGAUGCUCGCUAGGUAUGGCACAGGCUACGAGCCUGUGCUGUGCCACAGUGAAGACGCAAGCGAGCCGCCUGGGAAGUACGUCCGCAAGGAUGAA